AGGAGAGCCUGGCCCGCUGCAUGAACUCCUGCAGGAAGCUGGCCUGGACCUCACCUGGCUGGCAGGUGCUGGGGACAGACCCACGGCCCAGCGGAGCAGCCAGGGAGGCCAAAGGGCUGCAGCCCCGGGUCUGGACCCAGGACGAAAGUUUAAAGGACCCUAAGGAAGGCAUCAUUGCCCAGCUCGGGUUUACUGGGCUGCGUGGUGGCUUUGCUUGCUUCCUGGUGAGGACUCCUUCCAGUCGCCUUCCCUCUGUUGUCAGAAGAGCGCUCUCACCACAUCGCCAUCCUGAGAACGAGGCUCUCUCCCUGCGGUCAGCAGGUUGAGGGCGGAAUUUCUUAGGAAGGCAUCCGAGCUCUCCCACCCAGCCCUCACUCCCUGCACCUCUGAGCCCCUCCCAGGUCCUUUGGGAGUCUUCUGCUUCAUGUGCUGGGGAGAAGCAGCAUGGUGGUUCUGACCGACCCUCGCCCCUGGGACCAGCAGGCU
RNAcentral lists this long non-coding RNA (486 nucleotides) under Heterocephalus glaber (naked mole-rat). RNAcentral describes it as "lncRNA (ENSHGLG00100026064.2)". The record is from RNAcentral. Lineage: Eukaryota; Metazoa; Chordata; Mammalia; Rodentia; Bathyergidae.